Molecule: microRNA precursor, 94 nt
Filed under: Chelydra serpentina (North American snapping turtle)
Lineage: Eukaryota; Metazoa; Chordata; Testudines; Chelydridae
Description: mir-223
Rfam family: mir-223 microRNA precursor family
Source: RNAcentral
GCAGUGCCGCGCUCCGUGUAUUUGACAAGCUGAGUUUGACACUCAAUGUGGCAGAGUGUCAGUUUGUCAAAUACCCCAAGUGAGGCAUUUGCUU